CGGUAACAGCUCAAAUUUGAAAUCUGGCUCCUCUGGAGUCCGAGUUGUAAUUUGUAGAAGAUGCUUUGGGUUGUGGGUUCGGCCUAAGUUCCUUGGAACAGGACGUCAUAGAGGGUGAGAAUCCCGUAUGUGGCCGAGGCCCGCGCCUAUGUAAAGCUCUUUCAACGAGUCGAGUUGUUUGGGAAUGCAGCUCAAAAUGGGUGGUAAAUUUCAUCUAAAGCUAAAUAUGGGCCAGAGACCGAUAGCGCACAAGUAGAGUGAUCGAAAGAUGAAAAGCACUUUGGAAAGAGAGUUAAACAGUACGUGAAAUUGUUGAAAGGGAAGCGCUUGCACCCAGACUUGGGCGCUGCUGAUCACCUUGCGGUCUCCGCGAGUGCACUCGACAGCGCACAGGCCAGCAUCGGUUCGGGUGGCUGGAUAAAGGCCGUAGGAACGUAGCUCCCUUCGGGGAGUGUUAUAGCCUACGGUGCCAUGCAGCCCAGCCGGACCGAGGACCGCGCCUUCGGGCUAGGAUGCUGGCGUAAUGGGUGUAAGCGACCCGUCUUGAAACACGGACCAAGGAGUCUAACAUCUAUGCGAGUGUUUGGGUGGCAAACCCAUACGCGGAAUGAAAGUGAACGUAGGUGAGAACCCCUUUGGGGCGCAUCAUCGACCGAUCCUGAUGUCUUCGGAUGGAUUUGAGUAAGAGCAUAGC
This 694-nucleotide ribosomal RNA is filed under the name Pseudoidium sp. MUMH 837. Its description in RNAcentral is "eukaryotic LSU rRNA". It matches the Rfam family "Eukaryotic large subunit ribosomal RNA", at positions 99 to 806 of the family's 3401-position model. Lineage: Eukaryota; Fungi; Ascomycota; Leotiomycetes; Helotiales; Erysiphaceae. The record is from RNAcentral.